UACGUAGGUGACCAGCGUUGUCCGGAUUUACUGGGCGUAAAGAGCGCGCAGGCGGUCGUUCAAGUCGAGUGUGAAAGCCCCCGGCUCAACUGGGGAGGGUCACUUGAUACUGAUCGACUCGAAGGCAGGAGAGGGAAGCGGAAUUCCCGGUGUAGUGGUGAAAUGCGUAGAUAUCGGGAGGAACACCAGUGGCGAAGGCGGCUCACUGGCCCGGUACUGACGCUGAGGUGCGAAAGCGUGGGGAGCAAACAGG
This 253-nucleotide ribosomal RNA is filed under the name uncultured bacterium. RNAcentral's name for it is "partial 16S ribosomal RNA". It matches the Rfam family "Bacterial small subunit ribosomal RNA", at positions 524 to 776 of the family's 1533-position model. The record is from RNAcentral.